Long non-coding RNA from Amblyraja radiata (thorny skate), 494 nucleotides. RefSeq lists it as uncharacterized. The transcript has 3 exons. NCBI's taxonomy places the organism in Eukaryota, Metazoa, Chordata, Chondrichthyes, Rajiformes, Rajidae. The record is from RefSeq and is a predicted model, not a curated record.
CAUGAGCAUAAGCCAGGGAUUAGGAGGGCUAAAAGUGGGUGGGGGCUCUGUUGCCUGGGAUCGCCGAUCUCAGACACCGAUAGCUUCAGGCGCCUAUGGAUUGUGCUCAGCGGACACCAAUCAAGGCUACUUUAACUCUUCCUCUUAAAAGGGCAACCCACAAUGUGGCCGAAACAGAUGCUGGCACGUCUUUUAAACUACUGGAGCACACUUGCAAACAAUGGAAAAGAAAGAUGCCAAAGAAGUGGGGCCAUAAGAUGAAAAAUGUGGAUUUAGAAGUGUAAACAUCUGAUGUAAAGAACAGCAGUGUUAAAUCUGUGGAUAUCAGCAACAUGGGAAUCAAACUCCGCAAGGUGAGAUUAAGGUGAGAUUAAGAUGAAGAAACAAAAACUUCAUACUUAAAGGGUCAGAUAACAUUUGUCGAGUGAACAAUUACUUUCAAGGUCAACGAUUCUUCAUCAAAAUUAGUUGAUUAAUGCCUCGGCUUAAAUGGA